RNAcentral lists this ribosomal RNA (460 nucleotides) under uncultured bacterium. Its description in RNAcentral is "partial 16S ribosomal RNA". It matches the Rfam family "Bacterial small subunit ribosomal RNA", at positions 338 to 795 of the family's 1533-position model. The record is from RNAcentral.
CCUACGUGUGGCAGCAGUGAGGAAUAUUGGUCAAUGGGCGUAAGCCUGAACCAGCCAAGUCGCGUGAGGGAUGAAGGUUCUAUGGAUCGUAAACCUCUUUUAUAAGGGAAUAAAUUGCGGGACGUGUCCCGUUUUGUAUGUACAUUAUGAAUAAGGAUCGGCUAACUCCGUGCCAGCAGCCGUCGUAAUACGGAGGAUCCGAGCGUUAUCCGGAGUUAUUGGGUUUAAAGGGUGCGUAGGCGGCCUUUUGAGUCAGCGGUGAAAGUCUGUGGCUCAACCAUAGAAUUGCAGUUGACACUGGGAGGCUUGAGUAUGUGUGAGGCAGGCGGAAUGCGUGGUGUAGCGGUGAAAUGCUUAGAUAUCACGAAGAACUCCGAUUGUGAAGGCAGCUUACUAAACUGCCACUGACAUUGAUGCUCGAAAGUGUGGGUAUCAAACAGGAUUAGAUACCCCUGUAGUC